RNAcentral lists this ribosomal RNA (625 nucleotides) under Enterococcus sp. T287. Its description in RNAcentral is "bacterial SSU rRNA". It matches the Rfam family "Bacterial small subunit ribosomal RNA", at positions 45 to 649 of the family's 1533-position model. The record is from RNAcentral. Lineage: Bacteria; Bacillati; Bacillota; Bacilli; Lactobacillales; Enterococcaceae.
UGCUAUACUGCAGUCGACGCUUUUUCUUUCCCGGAGCUUGCUCCCUCGAAAGAGAAAGAGUGGCGGACGGGUGAGUAACACGUGGGUAACCUGCCCAUCAGAGGGGGAUAACACUUGGAAACAGGUGCUAAUACCGCAUAAUUCCUUUGACCGCCUGGUCGCCGGAUAAAAGACGCUUCGGUGUCACUGGUGGAUGGACCCCCGCUGCAUUAUUUAUUUGGGGGGGUAACGGCCUACCAAGACCGUGAUGCAUAUCCGACCUGAGAGGGGGAUCGGCCACACUGGGACUGAGACACGGCCCACACUCCUACGGGAGGCAGCAGUAGGGAAUCUUCUGCAAUGGACGGAAGUCUGACCGAGCAACGCCCCGUGAGUGAAAAAAGUUUUCGGAUCGUAAAACUCUGUUGUUAGAGAAAAACAAGUGGGAGAGUAACUGUUCUCACCUUGACGGUAUCUAACCAGAAAGCCACGGCUAACUACGUGCCACCAGCCGCGGUAAUACGUAGGUGGCAAGCGUUGUCCGGAUUUAUUGGGCGUAAAGCGAGCGCAGGCGGUUUCUUAAGUCUGAUGUGAAAGCCCCCGGCUUAACCGGGGAGGGUCAUUGUAAACUGGGAGACUUGAGUGC